GUGCAAAGGUAGCAUAAUCAUUAGUUUUUUAAUUGAAAGCUUGUAUGAAUGGUUUGACAAAGUAUUUACUGUCUUAAUAAAAAUUAUAUUAGAACUUUAUUUUUUAAUUAAAAAGUUAAAAUAAUAUUGGAGGACGAGAAGACCCCAUAGAUCUUUAUAAUUGAAUUUAUUUUUAUUUAUUUANAAUAAUUUAAUAAUUUUAAGUUUAAUUAUUUUAUUGGGG
Molecule: ribosomal RNA, 223 nt
Filed under: Psychoda phalaenoides
Lineage: Eukaryota; Metazoa; Arthropoda; Insecta; Diptera; Psychodidae
Description: partial 16S ribosomal RNA
Source: RNAcentral